UACGUAGGGGGCUAGCGUUGUCCGGAAUUAUUGGGCGUAAAGAGCUCGUAGGCGGCUUGUCGCGUCGGCUGUGAAAACCUGGGGCUCAACCCCGGGCCUGCAGCCGAUACGGGCAAGCUAGAAUUCGGUAGGGGAGACUGGAAUUCCUGGUGUAGCGGUGAAAUGCGCAGAUAUCGUAAGGAAGACCAGUGGCGAAGGCGGGUCUCUGGACAGUUCCUGACGCUGAGGCACGAAGGCCAGGGGAGACAA
This 249-nucleotide ribosomal RNA is filed under the name uncultured bacterium. RNAcentral describes it as "partial 16S ribosomal RNA". It matches the Rfam family "Bacterial small subunit ribosomal RNA", at positions 524 to 772 of the family's 1533-position model. The record is from RNAcentral.